GCCAGGCAUGGUGGCUCAUGCCUGUAAUCCUAGCACUCUGGGAGGCCGAGGUGGGUGGAUCACCUGAGGUCAGGAGCUGGAGACCAGCCUGGCCAACAUGGUGAAACCCCGUCUCUA
Molecule: non-coding RNA, 117 nt
Organism: Pan troglodytes (chimpanzee)
Lineage: Eukaryota; Metazoa; Chordata; Mammalia; Primates; Hominidae
Rfam family: Metazoan signal recognition particle RNA
About the family: The signal recognition particle (SRP) is a universally conserved ribonucleoprotein. It is involved in the co-translational targeting of proteins to membranes.
Source: Rfam